UCCGGUUUGUCACCGGCAGUCAUCCUAGAGUGCCCAGCUCAACCUGCUGGCAACUAAGAUCAAGGGUUGCGCUCGUUGCGGGACUUAACCCAACAUCUCACGACACGAGCUGACGACAACCAUGCACCACCUGUCUCCCCUGUCCCGAAAGAAAGGCCUAUCUCUAGACCGAUCAGGGGGAUGUCAAGACCUGGUAAGGUUCUUCGCGUUGCUUCGAAUUAAACCACAUACUCCACUGCUUGUGCGGGUCCCCGUCAAUUCCUUUGAGUUUCAGUCUUGCGACCGUACUCCCCAGGCGGAAUGCUUAAUGCGUUAGCUGCGCCACUGAUAAGCAUGCUUACCAACGGCUAGCAUCCAUCGUUUACGGCGUGGACUAC
This 377-nucleotide unclassified non-coding RNA is filed under the name uncultured Paenibacillaceae bacterium. RNAcentral describes it as "contains 16S-23S intergenic spacer region". The record is from RNAcentral. Lineage: Bacteria; Bacillati; Bacillota; Bacilli; Caryophanales; Paenibacillaceae.